This 341-nucleotide ribosomal RNA is filed under the name uncultured bacterium. RNAcentral's name for it is "bacterial SSU rRNA". It matches the Rfam family "Bacterial small subunit ribosomal RNA", at positions 28 to 372 of the family's 1533-position model. The record is from RNAcentral.
GACGAACGCUGGCGGCGUGCUUAACACAUGCAAGUCGAACGAUGAAGCCUUUCGGGGUGGAUUAGUGGCGAACGGGUGAGUAACACGUGGGCAAUCUGCCCUGUACUUUGGGAUAAGCCUUGGGAAACGGGUCUAAUACCGGAUAUCACUUACCCCCGNAGUGGGGGUUUGUUGAAAGUUCUGGCGGUACAGGAUGAGCCCGCGGCCUAUCAGCUUGUUGGUGGGGUAGUGGCCUACCAAGGCGACGACGGGUAGCCGGCCUGAGAGGGUGACCGGCCACACUGGGACUGAGACACGGCCCAGACUCCUACGGGAGGCAGCAGUGGGGAAUAUUGCACAAU